GUAGUUUAGUGGUAAAACUACAGCCUUCCAAGCUGUUGUCGCGAGUUCGAUUCUCGUCACCC
This 62-nucleotide transfer RNA is filed under the name Streptococcus agalactiae. RNAcentral's name for it is "tRNA-Gly". It matches the Rfam family "tRNA", at positions 7 to 64 of the family's 71-position model. Rfam says of the family: Transfer RNA (tRNA) molecules are approximately 80 nucleotides in length. Their secondary structure includes four short double-helical elements and three loops (D, anti-codon, and T loops). Lineage: Bacteria; Bacillati; Bacillota; Bacilli; Lactobacillales; Streptococcaceae. The record is from RNAcentral. RNAcentral also lists the same sequence under 1 other name.